This 468-nucleotide ribosomal RNA is filed under the name uncultured bacterium. Its description in RNAcentral is "partial 16S ribosomal RNA". It matches the Rfam family "Bacterial small subunit ribosomal RNA", at positions 28 to 507 of the family's 1533-position model. The record is from RNAcentral.
GACGAACGCUGGCGGCGUGCUUAACACAUGCAAGUCGAACGGAAAGGCCCUGCUUUUGUGGGGUGCUCGAGUGGCGAACGGGUGAGUAACACGUGAGUACCCUGCCCUUGACUGUGGGAGAACUUCAGGAAACUGAGGCUAAUACCGGAUAGGAGCUCCUGCUGCUGGGUGGGGGCUGGAAAGUUUCGGCGGUUGGGGAUGGACUCGCGGCUUAUCAGCUUGUUGGUGGGGUAGUGGAUUACCAAGGCUAUGACGGGUAGCCGGGCUGAGAGGGGGACCGGCCACACUGGGCCUGAGCUGCGACACAGCCUCGUACGGGACGCAAGAGUGGAGAAUAGUGCAUUGGGGGCUGAAGGCUGAUGCAGCAACGCCGCGUGGGGGAUGACGGCCAUCGGGUUGUAUUGCGCUUUCGUCUUUGACGAAGCGUGAGUGACGGUACCGGGUAAAUAAGCACCGGCUAACUACGUG